Odocoileus virginianus texanus is the source of this 695-nucleotide non-coding RNA. The record is from RefSeq and is a predicted model, not a curated record. Lineage: Eukaryota; Metazoa; Chordata; Mammalia; Artiodactyla; Cervidae.
UUUUGGGUGAUCCACUUGUCCAAUGAAGAUUUAUUACAUAGGAUCCACUAUCCGGUGUGAUUAAGUAUGUGCAGUUGGCUUGUCCAGAGAAAGGUGCAGCUUCGAGUGUUCUGGAGGACAGGAGGCGCCAUCCAGGCUUUCUCUCACCUGUGCCGUGAUGUGCCGCUAUUCCUGCUCUUUUCUCCUCCCUUGUGCAGCUGCAGGAUUCCUGGUAUGGUGAGGCCAACAUAAGAUUAUUGCUUCUGAAAAGAGAGCUUGCUCCUCUGUUUCUUGGAGGAGGGGGAACGCCACAGCAUGCAGGACCACAUGAGGAAGCACCAGGAUAGAUGAAGAGGCAGAAGGUGCAGGAAAAGGAGUGUUAAAAGAUCAAGGUGAUUUUCUACAUUGAUUGAGAAGUUUUAAUGGCUUGUAAAUAUUAAAGCUUCAAAACUGCAGUUCAUGAAUUUGCUAGUAUAGCAGUUUCCUGUGUGACAGAAACACAAUGUUUGAUGGACUGCUUAAAUCACUUCACUCACCACUGAACUGAAACUAAGAAGAAACAUCUGUAUGGUACAAAGUGACACAACUCAAACACUGCAGGAAUAGAAAUGAAGAUGAUUCAUCAUAUCCUAACCAAAAAUGACUGGUUCAGUGUGAUUUAAGCUAAUCAACUGGAGUUGUCUCUGGGGAGUGGACACAUUUCAGAGAGGAGGGGC